This 248-nucleotide ribosomal RNA is filed under the name Escherichia coli. RNAcentral's name for it is "partial 23S ribosomal RNA". It matches the Rfam family "Bacterial large subunit ribosomal RNA", at positions 1920 to 2167 of the family's 2925-position model. Lineage: Bacteria; Pseudomonadati; Pseudomonadota; Gammaproteobacteria; Enterobacterales; Enterobacteriaceae. The record is from RNAcentral.
CCGGUAAACGGCGGCCGUAACUAUAACGGUCCUAAGGUAGCGAAAUUCCUUGUCGGGUAAGUUCCGACCUGCACGAAUGGCGUAAUGAUGGCCAGGCUGUCUCCACCCGAGACUCAGUGAAAUUGAACUCGCUGUGAAGAUGCAGUGUACCCGCGGCAAGACGGAAAGACCCCGUGAACCUUUACUAUAGCUUGACACUGAACAUUGAGCCUUGAUGUGUAGGAUAGGUGGGAGGCUUUGAAGUGUGG